GGUAAGAUGGCCGAGCGGUCUAAGGCGCUAGCUUCAGGUUACGUCCAAUGUAACUGCUAGUAUCGUAAGAUGCGUGGUUAGUUUCCCCUCCUUCCCUUGCACCGGUCUCUUGCUAACUCUCAAUAGGGUUCAAAUCCCACUCUUAUCA
This 148-nucleotide transfer RNA is filed under the name Venturia inaequalis. RNAcentral describes it as "tRNA-Leu". It matches the Rfam family "tRNA". From Rfam's summary of the family: Transfer RNA (tRNA) molecules are approximately 80 nucleotides in length. Their secondary structure includes four short double-helical elements and three loops (D, anti-codon, and T loops). The record is from RNAcentral. Lineage: Eukaryota; Fungi; Ascomycota; Dothideomycetes; Venturiales; Venturiaceae.